GACGAACGCUGGCGGCGUGCUUAACACAUGCAAGUCACGGGGGCGUCGCGAAGGGCAACCGGCGAACGGGUGCGUAACACGUGAGCAACCUGCCGAUCUGAGGGGGAGUAGCCGGCCCAACGGCCGGGUAAUACCGCAUACGCUUGUGUGGCCUCAUGGCUAGACAAGGAAACCUCCGGGGCAGAUCGAGGGGGCUCGCGGGCCUAUCAGCUAGUUGGCGGUGUAAUGGACCACCAAGGCGACGACGGGUAGCUGGUCUGAGAGGAUGG
This 269-nucleotide ribosomal RNA is filed under the name uncultured bacterium. Its description in RNAcentral is "partial 16S ribosomal RNA". It matches the Rfam family "Bacterial small subunit ribosomal RNA", at positions 28 to 303 of the family's 1533-position model. The record is from RNAcentral.